Molecule: ribosomal RNA, 466 nt
Filed under: uncultured bacterium
Lineage: Bacteria
Description: bacterial SSU rRNA
Rfam family: Bacterial small subunit ribosomal RNA
Source: RNAcentral
GAUUAACGCUAGCGGCAGGCCUAAUACAUGCAAGUCGCACGGGAUUCAGGGUAGCAAUAUCUUGAUGAGAGUGGCGCACGGGUGCGUAACACGUAUGCAAUCUACCUUUAACUGGGGAAUAGCUCACCGAAAGGUGAAUUAAUACCGCAUAAAAUCACAGAAGGACAUCCUUUAAUGAUUAAACCUACGGGGGUUAAAGAUGAGCAUGCGUCCGAUUAGCUAGUUGGCGGGGUAAUAGCCCACCAAGGCAACGAUCGGUAGGGGGUCUGAGAGGAUGAUCCCCCACACUGGUACUGAGAUACGGACCAGACUCCUACGGGAGGCAGCAGUAAGGAAUAUUGGACAAUGGAGGCAACUCUGAUCCAGCCAUGCCGCGUGAAGGAUUAAGGCCCUAUGGGUACGUUAAACUUCUUUUACAGGAGAACCAAAACCCCCUCUACGUGUAGAGGGCUGAUGGUACUCUGAG